This 450-nucleotide ribosomal RNA is filed under the name uncultured bacterium. RNAcentral's name for it is "partial 16S ribosomal RNA". It matches the Rfam family "Bacterial small subunit ribosomal RNA", at positions 354 to 796 of the family's 1533-position model. The record is from RNAcentral.
GUGGGGAAUUUUGGACAAUGGGCGCAAGCCUGAUCCAGCCAUGCCGCGUGCAGGAUGAAGGCCUUCGGGUUGUAAACUGCUUUUGUACGGAACGAAAAGACUCUGGUUAAUACCUGGGGUCCAUGACGGUACCGUAAGAAUAAGCACCGGCUAACUACGUGCCAGCAGCCGCGGUAAUACGUAGGGUGCGAGCGUUAAUCGGAAUUACUGGGCGUAAAGCGUGCGCAGGCGGUUAUGUAAGACAGAUGUGAAAUCCCCGGGCUCAACCUGGGAACUGCAUUUGUGACUGCAUAGCUAGAGUACGGCAGAGGGGGAUGGAAUUCCGCGUGUAGCAGUGAAAUGCGUAGAUAUGCGGAGGAACACCGAUGGCGAAGGCAAUCCCCUGGGCCUGUACUGACGCUCAUGCACGAAAGCGUGGGGAGCAAACAGGAUUAGAUACCCCGGUAGUCC